Molecule: ribosomal RNA, 465 nt
Filed under: uncultured bacterium
Lineage: Bacteria
Description: partial 16S ribosomal RNA
Rfam family: Bacterial small subunit ribosomal RNA
Source: RNAcentral
GACGAACGCUGGCGGCGUGCUUAACACAUGCAAGUCGAACGGAAAGGCCCUGCUUGCCGGGUACUCGAGUGGCGAACGGGUGAGUAACACGUGGGUGAUCUGCCCUGCACUUCGGGAUAAGCCUGGGAAACUGGGUCUAAUACCGGAUAGGAGCCAUUUUUAGUGUGAUGGUUGGAAAGUUUUUUCGGUGUAGGAUGAGCUCGCGGCCUAUCAGCUUGUUGGUGGGGUAAUGGCCUACCAAGGCGGCGACGGGUAGCCGGCCUGAGAGGGUGGACGGCCACAUUGGGACUGAGAUACGGCCCAGACUCCUACGGGAGGCAGCAGUGGGGAAUAUUGCACAAUGGGCGCAAGUCUGAUGCAGCGACGCCGCGUGGGGGAUGACGGCCUUCGGGCUGUAAACUCCUUUCGCUAGGGACGAAGCUUUUUGUGACGGUACCUAGAGAAGAAGCACCGGCUAACUACGUG